Molecule: long non-coding RNA, 799 nt
Organism: Argentina anserina (silverweed cinquefoil)
Lineage: Eukaryota; Viridiplantae; Streptophyta; Magnoliopsida; Rosales; Rosaceae
Exons: 3
Source: RefSeq, a predicted model, not a curated record
CACAGCCGGCGCCUUUGACCUGCCGCGCCACCGCUGUCCGACUAUGGCAGAGCAUACCACCACCACCAUUUUCUUCCUCACCUCGAGACCUUCAAGACCCAUUCCGUGUAUGUGAGAUUCAAGCAUCUCCCUGACGAGAUCGAAAUCGAGGCAGUGACGCCGACGAGCAUCCGGCGAGGUUCUGAGCUUUGACCCUAUCCCUUUGUCCAUUUUUGGUAAUCUUUCGAUCUCCAUUUCAUUUCUUGACUCAUCUCUCCUUCGAUUUGCCGAAUCGGAGCUCUAACCUCAAUUCUCCGUCCUCUGUUUUGCUCCGCUGUGAGUCCCGUCUCUGGCAAGCUUGAGUCUCGUUCCAGACGCCCUAGUCGAGUUCGGAUUGGACUUAGAAACAUCAGAGCUGUCUCAGGAACUAGGAGGAGACCUCGGUUGAGCAGCUGCACCUCGGAAUAGGAGCGGAGGAGCACCACGGCGAUCGGUUGUACUUCCGUUCUCCGUUGAGAGUUUACACCUACGCUUAUAGCACGAGGAUCGAGGCUAGACCACGUGGACUACGACUUCGAUAUACCAGGGCAUGAAACAGAAGCCAAAUGGAGAAGGUGGUGGUGAAAGCCAUUAUUGGAAUCGGGCUAGAUAGAGUAUGAGAAGCAAUGAAGACGAAGGAGUUGCUGAUUUGGGGGAAAUAAUGCCUCGUGAUACUCAUAUGAAUGGGUGGUCACAUAUGACACGUGGUGCAUUUGUCGUAUUUAAGAAUUUCUCGUAACGGUAUGAUCGUGAAGAGGUAUCAUAAUUUUUGGAACGCACA